AUGGGUGGCGGUGGAGAAAGAGGCAUGAAGCAACCUUCAGGCAAUCCGAGUGAGCUGUGGAAGAGCCCUAGGGGAACAGUGAUUCGUAUUGAGGUGCUUGCAUUGGUGGCCAUUGCCCUCUCCUUCUUCUUUGUGGCUUUUGGGUCCAGCCGCCGCUGGUCCAACCGCUGGAUCAUUCAAAAAGGUGUCUUGGCUGCAAAUGCAUUAUCUUUGUCCCUCGGAACAUACAGCAUUGGUUUGAUGCAAUCCUCGCCGGUGAAGAGUGAGAUGUACCCCAUCUGGGCCGUAUCCUUGCUCACCCUCUUUGGCAGCAUUGACUCAAUCAGCGGGUACAGUCUUGACCACAACAGCCAGUUCCUGAAGCUGCUAUACCAGCUAUGCCCCUACUGUGGAUAUGUCCUCCUAAUUGGUAUCUCCACCAUCUCCAGUGAUGUAGGUAACAUUGCAAUCGGUGUUCUGUGUGCCAUCACUUUCAUUAAGGACUUUCACAGAUCACUAGCAAGUGUGUUGCCGAGCAGAUUGCGGAAUGUGAAUAAAUUGAUUGCUGAUUACAUGGAAUAUCGUUUUUCACAACUAAAUGGUCCUGAUGAUGUCAUCAUGAGAGAUUACCCUAAGUACGUGGUCGACUGGCCCCUAGACAAGGCCGAGUCUGACCAUUUCAAAAAAACAAACAACAUAUUGGAUGGUAGUGAAGUCAUCACCAUAAACCAGAUAUGGCAUUGCGCCAUCGGUUCACCAGGAUCAAAUGCCAGUUCUUACAAGGAUGUUUGCCUCUCCUUCUCUUUAUGCCAUUUGUUGCAAAGACGUUUCUUCGGGUUCAAAUGUGCUGAGUCCAGCUUUGGUGAGGCCCUAGAUUUUAUCAACAGAGACGGAACAUAUGGACCGAGAACUGUUAUGGCUUGGCACAUUGCGACUUGUUACCUGGAAAUUGGGCAGUCCAAGAACAAGAAGUGGCUUGAAGAGCACUCUGUAGAAGAGAGAAUGGAGCUAGCAGUGUAUUUUGAUGUUGCCACAACGCUGUCUAAAGUUUACUUGGGCUAA
Molecule: ribosomal RNA, 1041 nt
Filed under: Triticum aestivum (bread wheat)
Lineage: Eukaryota; Viridiplantae; Streptophyta; Magnoliopsida; Poales; Poaceae
Description: partial small subunit ribosomal RNA
Source: RNAcentral